UGAUGACGAGACGCUAAGGCGUUGAAGCAGUGUAUGUCAGACUUCCAAGAAAAGCUCGCAAUGUCACAAAUAAAAAGUGCCUGUACCAUAACCGACACAGGUGGGUAGGUAGAGUAUACUAAGGGGCGCGAGAUAACUCUCUCUAAGGAACUCGGCAAAAUGACUCCGUAACUUCGGGAGAAGGAGUGCCUUAUUUAUAAGGUUGCAAUAACAAGAUCCAAGCAACUGUUUAUCAAAAACACAGGUCUCCGCUAGGUCGUAAGACGAUGUAUGGGGGCUGACGCCUGCCCAGUGCCAGAAGGUUAAAGAAGUUGGUUAGUGUAUGCGAAGCUGAUGACUGAAGCCCUGGUGAACGGCGGCCGUAACUAUAACGGUCCUAAGGUAGCGAAAUUCCUUGUCGGGUAAGUUCCGACCCGCACGAAAGGCGUAAUGAUUUGGAUACUGUCUCGGAGAGAGGCUCGGUGAAAUAGACUUGUCUGUGAAGAUGCGGACUACCUGCACCAGGACAGAAAGACCCUAUGAAGCUUUACUGUAACUUGAAAUUGGAAUUGGACUUUGCUUGCGCAGUAUAGGUGGGAAGCGUUGAAAAUAUUCUUGCGGGAGUAUUGGAGCUAUCAGUGAGAUACCACUCUUGUAAUGUUAGAUUUCUAACUUUGAACCAUAAUCUGGUCAAAGAACAGUUUCAGGUGGGCAGUUUGACUGGGGCGGUCGCCUCCCAAAUGGUAACGGAGGCGUACAAAGGUUUCCUCUGAACGGAUAGAAAUCGUAUCUAGAGUGUAAAGGCAUAAGGAAGCUUGACUGUGAGACCUACAAGUCGAGCAGGGACGAAAGUCGGUCUUAGUGAUCUGACGGUACUGAGUGGAAAGGCCGUCACUCAACGGAUAAAAGUUACUCUAGGAUAACAGGCUGAUCUCCCCCAAGAGUUCACAUCGACGGGGAGGUUUGGCACCUCGAUGUCGGCUCAUCGCAUCCUGGGGCGGUAGUACGUCCCAAGGGUUGGGCUGUUCGCCCAUGAAAGCGGUACGCGAGCUGGGUUCAGAACGUCGUGAGACAGUUCGGUCCAUAUCCGGUGUAGGCGCUAGAAUAUUGAGAGGAGCCUUCUUUAGUACGAGAGGACCGAGAAGGACACACCGCUGGUGUACCAGUUAUCGUGCCAACGGUAAACGCUGGGUAGCUAUGUGUGGAGUGGAUAACCGCUGAAAGCAUCUAAGUGGGAAGCCCACCUCGAGAUGAGUAUUCUCAAC
Molecule: ribosomal RNA, 1244 nt
Filed under: metagenome
Description: bacterial LSU rRNA
Rfam family: Bacterial large subunit ribosomal RNA
Source: RNAcentral